AGUGAACGCUGGCGGUAGGCCUAACACAUGCAAGUCGAACGGCAGCACAGUAAGAGCUUGCUCUUACGGGUGGCGAGUGGCGGACGGGUGAGGAAUACAUCGGAAUCUACUUUUUCGUGGGGGAUAACGUAGGGAAACUUACGCUAAUACCGCAUACGACCUACGGGUGAAAGCAGGGGAUCUUCGGACCUUGCGCGAUUGAAUGAGCCGAUGUCUGAUUAGCUAGUUGGCGGGGUAAAGGCCCACCAAGGCGACGAUCCGUAGCUGGUCUGAGAGGAUGAUCAGCCACACUGGAACUGAGACACGGUACAGACUCCUACGGGAGGCAGCAGUGGGGAAUAUUGGACAAUGGGCGAAAGCCUGAUCCAGCCAUACCGCGUGGGUGAAGAAGGCCUUCGGGUUGUAAAGCCCUUUUGUUGGGAAAGAAAAGCAGCAGGUUAAUACCCCGCUGUUCUGACGGUACCCAAAGAAUAAGCACCGGCUAACUUCGUG
This 492-nucleotide ribosomal RNA is filed under the name uncultured bacterium. Its description in RNAcentral is "partial 16S ribosomal RNA". It matches the Rfam family "Bacterial small subunit ribosomal RNA", at positions 29 to 507 of the family's 1533-position model. The record is from RNAcentral.